This 405-nucleotide ribosomal RNA is filed under the name uncultured Prochlorococcus sp. RNAcentral's name for it is "bacterial SSU rRNA". It matches the Rfam family "Bacterial small subunit ribosomal RNA", at positions 44 to 497 of the family's 1533-position model. The record is from RNAcentral. Lineage: Bacteria; Bacillati; Cyanobacteriota; Cyanophyceae; Synechococcales; Prochlorococcaceae.
GUGCUUACACAUGCAAGUCGAACGAACCUUCGGGUUAGUGGCGGACGGGUGAGUAACGCGUGAGAAUCUGCCCUCAGGAGGGGGAUAACGGUUGGAAACGACCGCUAAUACCCCAUAUGCCUAUUGGUGAAACGAAUUUCGCCUGAGGAUGAGCUCGCGUCUGAUUAGCUAGUUGGUGAGGUAAUGGCUCACCAAGGCUUCGAUCAGUAGCUGGUCUGAGAGGAUGAUCAGCCACACUGGGACUGAGACACGGCCCAGACUCCUACGGGAGGCAGCAGUGGGGAAUUUUCCGCAAUGGGCGAAAGCCUGACGGAGCAACGCCGCGUGAGGGACGAAGGCCUCUGGGCUGUAAACCUCUUUUCUCAAGGAAGAAGAUAUGACGGUACUUGAGGAAUAAGCCACGGC